UUCAAAUUCGGAAUUUCCUCACUAAAUAAGUUAAGAAGCAUUAUUUGUGCACAAAAAGCAUAUGCUCUAAGAAAAUUCGACCUUAUCUUUAUUGCUUCUAGGCUCUAGCUAGCUAGCUUGUUAUAACUAUUCCUCAAUUUCCAACUUACUAUUGCCCUUAUGGUCCAUUUCAAAGUUAAAUCAAAUAAAUUGUGAUGAAAAUUACACCAAAUAUUUGGCAUAUACAUUGGUUAAAAAGUU
This 240-nucleotide long non-coding RNA is filed under the name Solanum tuberosum (potato). Its description in RNAcentral is "long non-coding RNA (STUB_LNC008495)". The record is from RNAcentral. Lineage: Eukaryota; Viridiplantae; Streptophyta; Magnoliopsida; Solanales; Solanaceae.